This 384-nucleotide ribosomal RNA is filed under the name Triticum aestivum (bread wheat). Its description in RNAcentral is "partial small subunit ribosomal RNA". Lineage: Eukaryota; Viridiplantae; Streptophyta; Magnoliopsida; Poales; Poaceae. The record is from RNAcentral.
UGUAUUGACUAUGUUCCUGACCUUAAGCCGAUUGGUAUUCCUCAAUCGCGGCACGAGGGGAGACUAAGUGGAAAAGGAAAGAUCGGAAGGAAAUCCACGAUAUGUAUGGACGGUCAUUCUAUGACUGAAGCACACCACACAGUUCUGCAAAAUUCCAGCUUGGUGGCUCCGUACUUCGAGCAACACAAGAAUAUUUUACGCUCGGACAACCCGGGGAAGCCUGAAUCCUGGAUUAGAAAGGCCCACAUGGAGACUUUCGGCAGUUGGUUGCGAAAACAUUUAAUGAAUGACAAUGAUGUUGGAGAUCAGCUGUACAUGUUGGCCAAGAAACCAUCUUCGACUAUAACGAUUUUCCAAGGGUACGAGAUAAAUGGGAAUACAUUU